This 1028-nucleotide long non-coding RNA is filed under the name Bos indicus x Bos taurus (hybrid cattle). RNAcentral describes it as "lncRNA (ENSBIXG00005000173.1)". The record is from RNAcentral. Lineage: Eukaryota; Metazoa; Chordata; Mammalia; Artiodactyla; Bovidae.
CGCGAGCUGGGGGCCCUUCCUGGGGGUGGGCGGAGCCCGGCCCGAGGCUCGUGCCUUCCCGCAGCUCCGGGGAGCUUCGCCGUGUCCCAGCCCCAGCCCAGACCCCGGCUGCAGCGAACACCGGUGGGCCGUGCUGCCCCCAGCCCGGAGGAUGCGGUUCUCCUGGGGCAGAGAUGGGGCCGGGCCCGUGAAGCCGGGUCCCCAGCAGGCCUGGCCUCCGGCAGCUUCCUGCCCCAGUGUGGCCCCCGCUCGCCUCGACUGGGAGACGACCACAGCGUGGGGUCCCCGGCCGCCCCUCGCAUCCGCCAGGGCCUCCCAGAGCGACACCCGCUCUGGCUACCGGGAAUGCAGGGGAAACGCACACUCAGGACUAAGGAGUGUGGCCCCCACUUUAGAGGAGGAACUGCCCAUACCACUUUCCCCAGAGUCCACGAGACGGUUGCCCAGCUGUGCCGGCCUGCUGCCCAGGCCCCUGCCACCCCCAAGCCCACCCACAGCCCCCUGGGCCUGGAGGGGACCUCAGUUCAGGCCCUGCUGGGUUGGCCAAGCUCAGGCCCCACGCCAGACCCCACCCCCACCCUCGAGGCCCGACUGCAUGGAGGCUGCAGGAAUGGAACAACCUGCGGGGUAAGAUGUGGUCACAUGUUUCCCGGGCUGCAGGUGUCCUCAUGUGACACAUGGGGUGAGUCGCACCUGACUCCACGUCCAGGGCAGGGUGAGGGCCCCACGUGGGCUGAGAGGGAAGGUCACACCUGACCCGCAUCCAGGGCGGGGUGAGGGCCCCACCUGGGCUGAGUGUGGCUGCCACACCAGGCGGGCCCAGCUCUCCCUGGACAUGGCCACCUCUAGGCCACUGGCCACCAGGCAGGACGGCGCAGGCCUGAGCUGCCAGGACACGUGGGGCCCAAAGCAGGCCGAGGCCGUCGGCGCUGUGGCCUGCCCCCUCACGCGGCCCCCCGCCUGCCGGGCGUGGGCUGACGCUGGUGCUGGCGCACCCCUGGACGGGAGGUCUGAACGGGAGCCUCGGG